RNAcentral lists this ribosomal RNA (616 nucleotides) under uncultured bacterium. Its description in RNAcentral is "bacterial SSU rRNA". It matches the Rfam family "Bacterial small subunit ribosomal RNA", at positions 338 to 951 of the family's 1533-position model. The record is from RNAcentral.
CCUACGGGAGGCAGCAGUGGGGAAUAUUGGACAAUGGGCGAAAGCCUGAUCCAGCAAUUCCGCGUGUGUGAAGAAGGCCUUCGGGUUGUAAAGCACUUUAGUUGGGGAAGAAACAGCUUGGCCACACCAAGCCUUGACGGUACCCAAAGAAUAAGCACCGGCUAACUCUGUGCCAGCAGCCGCGGUAAUACAGAGGGUGCAAGCGUUAAUCGGAUUUACUGGGCGUAAAGGGUGCGUAGGUGGUUUUGUAAGUCGGAUGUGAAAGCCUGGGGCUCAACCUCAGAAUUGCACUCGAUACUGCAAGACUAGAGUUCGGUAGAGGGCGGCGGAAUUCCCGGUGUAGCGGUGAAAUGCGUAGAUAUCGGGAGGAACAUCAAUGGCGAAGGCAGCCGCCUGGGCCUGAACUGACACUGAGGCACGAAAGCGUGGGUAGCAAACAGGAUUAGAUACCCUGGUAGUCCACGCUGUAAACGAUGAGAACUUGACGUUGGUUCGUUUUACGAAUCGGUGUCGCAGCUAACGCGAUAAGUUCUCCGCCUGGGGAGUACGGCCGCAAGGUUGAAAACUCAAAGGAAUUGACGGCGNGAGACGNGCGACGACGACACGAGGGAGGAGG